CAAACACCAUCACACCACUAUUGACUAUCUAGUCCUCCUCCUCCUCCUCCUCUCGCUCACCAGCCGACUUGUCACCGGUGGUCUGACCGCCCUUUUUCCCCAUCUCCUUGUACCCUUCAGUUCCCAGCUGGUCUUUCCUCGUUUGUCCUCCCUUGCUCCGCCCUUCACCAACACGAAACACAAAAGUACAUGCAUAUAUUAUUAUGCAUCACUGUAACUAUAAAUAAACUAAUGUGAAUUCGCAAAAAAGCUACUGAAAGGGUGGACUCUACCCACACCGUCGUAGCUAGGGGCGUAGGUUAGAAGAGGGGGAGGGGGUGUGUGUGCCAGACCCCGAACUUUUCGCUCAGGUAUGUAGCUUUUGUAUAAAAAUUUUUGAGUAUAUACGUUUUCGACCCCCGGUUCUAUAGAAAUUUUUGGGUAUAUACGUUUUCGACCCCCAAUCGGAGAUCUCAAGCUUCACCACUAGUCGUAGAACGACGGGUUUGAGCUUGAAUCAAACUGCGGCCGUUUGAGGUACUUUAUGUUAAAUCACGAGCUCCGAUACUUCAUCUUAAAUCAUGGCCCCCUUGUAGGUGUUAAAAAAAUCGGUUUAUGACCGAAACCGGUUUUUUUUUACCGCUUCUUUUGUUUUUUUUUUUUUUAAAAACCAGUUUCAACCCGAACCGAACUGGCGGUUUGCAUACCGGUUAGUAUUAUUGAUCUUCAAAACCAGUUUAAAAAAACGUUUUUUGUCCUAUACCGUUUCUUUUUUAAAAAAGAAAAAAAAACCAGUUUCAACCCGACAGUUUGCAUACCGGUUAGUACUACUGAUCUUCAAAACCAGUUAAAAAAACGUUUUUUGUCCCAAAUCGGUUACCGAAUCUACUAGUACCAGUUCGACUGCCCACCAUGUAAAACCAGUUAAAAACCGAACCGCUAUUUUUAGAAACCAUUUUCGGUCCGGUUAAAACCGGACCCUUUUUUAAAGGGAUUUGUACACCUCUAGGCCCCUUAAUCUUAUUCAAAUAUGUAUGUCAAAUCAUGGGCCCCUAAAUAUUCGGGUUGCCGUUUGCGUAAAUAUCAAACGGUCAUCCCCAAUACCAAUACGUAUGUAAAUUUAAAUAAAUAAGCAUAUACCUUCAGCAAGACGUUCUUGAGCCUCAAGAGAUUUGCCACGAGUACCACCCGGAACAACGGUCUCGCCUUUAGCUGCUCGUUGGUCGAGAUCCUUCUUCUCCUGUUCCGGAAUUUUGCGUGUUUGUUGUCCCUGUUGUGAUGCCAUUUUGUUCACUCUUUUGUGAAGUUAUGUUGUACAAUUGAGGGUGCUAAGAUGCAUGUAAUUUUGAUAUUAGCAUGCAUGUUGGCACGUGGUAUGAUGAGGUGGUGGCAAGGGUGA
This 1378-nucleotide long non-coding RNA is filed under the name Helianthus annuus (common sunflower). Its description in RNAcentral is "hypothetical non coding rna". The record is from RNAcentral. Lineage: Eukaryota; Viridiplantae; Streptophyta; Magnoliopsida; Asterales; Asteraceae.